CUCUAGUGGUAGCUGUUUUAUUGGGCCUAAAGCGUUCGUAGCCGGUUUAAUAAGUCUCUGGUGAAAUCCUAUAGCUUAACUGUGGGAAUUGCUGGAGAUACUAUUAGACUUGAGAUCGGGAGAGGUCAGAGGUACUCCUGGGGUAGGGGUGAAAUCCUGUAAUCCUAGGAGGACCACCUGUGGCGAAGGCGUCUGACUAGAACGAAUCUGACGGUGAGGAACGAAAGCUAGGGGCGCGAACCGGAUUAGAUACCCGGGUAGUCCUAGCCGUAAACUAUGCGGACUUGGUGUGAGGGUGGCUUUGAGCCGUCCUGGUGCCGAAGGGAAGCUGUUAAGUCCGCCGCCUGGGAAGUACGGUCGCAAGACUGAAACUUAAGGAAUUGGCGGGGGAGCACCACAACGCGUGGAGCCUGCGGUUUAAUUGGAUUCAACGCCGGAGAUCUCACCAGCGGCGACAGCAGUAUGAUGACCAGGUUGAUGACUUUGUUUGACAAGCUGAGAGGUGGUGCAUGG
RNAcentral lists this ribosomal RNA (513 nucleotides) under uncultured archaeon. RNAcentral describes it as "bacterial SSU rRNA". It matches the Rfam family "Archaeal small subunit ribosomal RNA", at positions 483 to 997 of the family's 1478-position model. The record is from RNAcentral.